UUACGUUCAUAUCACGUUGAAACACUGGUUUCCGUACGAUCACCGAAGUUAAGCAACAUCGAGCCUGGUUAAUACCUAGAUGCGUAACCGCUGGGGAAUAUCACGUGAU
Molecule: non-coding RNA, 109 nt
Organism: Acanthosepion pharaonis
Lineage: Eukaryota; Metazoa; Mollusca; Cephalopoda; Sepiida; Sepiidae
Source: the annotation of a GenBank genome assembly